Acyrthosiphon pisum (pea aphid) is the source of this 779-nucleotide long non-coding RNA. RefSeq lists it as uncharacterized. The record is from RefSeq and is a predicted model, not a curated record. Lineage: Eukaryota; Metazoa; Arthropoda; Insecta; Hemiptera; Aphididae. The transcript is spliced from 3 exons.
GUUAGUGCGGAGUUAUCGAGACGAAUAGUGUGCCGCGUGGGUGUCAACAGUCUGCAGUUGUAGUCUCGACGAAAUAAAAAAUUCUGCUCGGACGCGGUUCGAGAGGGGAAUUUAAAGAUAUGAACAGUGGGGAGUUAUUAUUUCGCAAUUCGUGCGCGUUUCAUCUUUGUUCGAAUUCAUAACAUAUUACACGAAAAACGAAAACAUCACGUCGAGUCAAUGCGCGAAACAGUGUAGGGUUUCCAAAUCGGAUUUCGAAAUCAAGGUCUAUUAUGUAUAGGAAUACAUCCCUUUAUGAAUAAAAACUGGAAUAAGCGCCUUUUGGAGAAAACAACUCGGAUUAUAUCCAUCACUAUUCCUGAAAAAUAUUUUCCUAAAUUAAUUGUUCCUGACGAAAAUUAAGCGUCACCGCGUUAACACCGGUCACGGGCGCCCAGUUACUCGUGACAUCUACGAGUUUACAUCAGCGUUCAACGUGUUAAAUAACGAAUGACUAUAGCACCUGAGCGCCUUUAUACCAACAGCGCCCGGGGCAAGGAUACCCACUUCCCCCCCUUCCAGAUCACUGCAUAGGAAAUAGGAAGACGUGGAACAGAGACAUGGGAGAAUGGUUAGUAUGAUAAUAUGAUUAUUAUAAUAAUAUUUUUAUUCUGAGUAAUAACUUACCGUCUACUAGAUGUGUCUUUUACAACAUGAUCCAAUGGAUUCGAUUGAAUAGAGGAAUAAACCUAUAAUAUCUAUAAUAAAAAAAAAAUUUGAAAAGUCGCAAUAAUGGUUAG